UACGGUCACAUCACGUUGAAACACCAGUUCCUGUACGAUCACUGAAGUUAAGCAACGUUGAGCCUAAUCAGUACUUAGGUGGGUGAGCGCUUGAGAAUACUCGUGCUGUAA
Molecule: non-coding RNA, 111 nt
Organism: Acanthosepion pharaonis
Lineage: Eukaryota; Metazoa; Mollusca; Cephalopoda; Sepiida; Sepiidae
Source: the annotation of a GenBank genome assembly